AGUUGUAAUGAGGUAAUGAAAUAUCAAGACUAUCUUCACUAAAUCAAAUGUUAAACCUUGUUUCUUCUUGAAGAGCUGGAACAAGAAAGUCUGUAGUAGGAUGUACAGAAGUUUCUUGGGUGAGAGCUGGGCACAAGAGUUGGAAUCUGGCAGUGAUCACAAAGCCACAUGUAAAAGGAUGUACACGUUUGUAGUUGCCAGGCUGGUUUUACAAUGUUUGAGAGAUGUCUCCAACAGUGUAUAUUUUGUGUGUGUACGUGAAGAGAGUAAAUUUCACUUUGAGUGAAUAAGCCUCUGGGCUUAUUUUUUCCCAACACUUUUGUGUAAUCACUAGAGCGUGCCACCUCCUUUAGCUAAUAUUUGUAGUAACUUUAUAUGUUAAAACAAGGCUGUGUAGUAGCUGUUGGUAGUUUAACCAUGUGGCUGCAAAAUUAACCUUUGACCUUUCUGAGUCUAAUCAGGAAAUUGACUUUGAGUUAUUCCUUAACGUGGGAUAUGUGGUUAAAGUUAAACAUCACUAAUAGGAAAUCUAGUAACAGGAAAUGUGUGAAUGCUAAUCCAUACAAACAUAAACAAACCUUUGGCUUACAUACAGUUUUAUUGGAAUUUUCCUCUUGACUCACUUUCCUUCAGUAAGCCAGAAAAAAAAAAUUACAAGAGCUUGUUAAAGUCUUUGAAAGACUUCAACUUUUUUUGUGGCUACGAAUUUAUUAGAUUUCUACUUAAGAAACCUUUAAAAUGGGGGUAGGAUUUUGUCAAGAAUCAACUAUGGUCAGUUCACCUUCACUACAGUUCUAAUUAAUGAAGUUAUUCACCAGAAAUGUCUACUUCCUAAGGCUCAAAACAAGAAUGCUCCGCAUUAGAGUGCUUUAUUUAUGUGCGACUCAAAAUUGGAUAAUUUUGAGAAAAAGAAUUAAUAGAAAUGCCUACUUCUGUAAGAUUGUUUUGAAGCCUCUUUAGAAACAAGUUUGUCAGAAAAAGCCUGUAAUGAAUACAAUUCCAGUUCAGAAAAUUAUCCAUGAGAAUUUGAAAGAUUUUGAUAGUUCUCAUUGGAUCCUUUUUACAUCUCAGUAGGAAGGUAGGCUAGUGUGACCUGAAGCUAUGCAUUAAUCAGCUAAUCACUAUAGGUACAAGUACAGACUUCAGCUUGGAAAACCUUUGAAUUUUACUGUGGUUUUCAUACUAAAUCCACAAAAUCUUCACAUUACUAUUGAGCUCCACAGUUCAAUGGGAUAUUGUGUAUGUCCACUGACACAGAUCAGCUUCCAGGAUUAGGGCCAAGGUAAUUUUAGUGGGAAGAGCUUCCUUGAAGUCAGGAGAAAAAUCCUAGGGGAGCAGAACAAUAGUCAGGUCUGAAAAGAUUGUUUCUCAAAACAGAAAAGAACAAGAUAACUCUAAAACACUAUCUUACAGUUUAUGUAGUUCCUCUCUUAACCUCUCCUGAAUAAAUAAAUCAGUGCUAUUCACCAAAGAAACAGGCCAAGUAUUUACUACGCAUAUUAAAGCAAGGAGCAUGUAAGCCAUCAGAAUAAUUUCAUAAUGACGUGUCUUCUCUUCAUGUGUAUUUACAACACUAUCUAACCCACAAAAGACACAACUCAUGGCAUUUCUUUGCAGAUAAUUUUGUUCCUAAGGGAACAUUGUCAACAAAGUUCUUAAGAUGUGCAAAUUAUGUUAGCUUCAGUAAAAAUGUUAUUGGAUGUAAAAUGAGUAUCAGAUGAUUAUCUAAAAUGUGUUUAAUGAUUAAGAACUGCGAAGUAAAUUGUAUGAGUAUUACAUCAGUCCAGUCUUGUUAAAAAAAAUUUGGGAUAAAUUCUGUUUACCUUGAUAUAGUGUCUCCUACAGACCUCAUAAAACCUUCUCCUUAGGGCACAGUAAAGUUCCACUCCCCUUUGAGUAUUCAGCCUUCUUUCUAUUUUCAGACUGCUAUUUGCAGACAGCAGCAUUGUAGUCAUUCACACUACUGUUGUCCAAAAACUUCUCGCCUACAGUACCCAGGCAAACAUGAAAAAUUGGUUUAUAUCACAGCCUCAUUAAACAAAUAUUUUACAAAGUGGCAGUGAUGAUGACUGAGGAAUACGCAGCCUGCAGGAUCCCUUCCACUAAAAUGUAGUCAUGUUUUUUAAAAAGUUACUAUCUAAAGGUGUGAGUAUUUAUACAGGCAAAUGUUAGGGUCUGGUUCUUUCAUUGCUCUCCUGGAGUCAUUCCUGAAGUCAAUAAAUUUAAAAAUACUUCAGGAUUUCAUUUUUAGUUAAUGGAAUUUAAUGAAAAAAAACCAACAAACCUGUAAAGAAGAGGUGGAGUGAGCCUCAGAAUAGUAUUACGCCACUUUUUGCUAGCUAGAAUAAAGACUUUCUUUUCUUCUCUUUUCUUUUUCCCUUCCCUGUUACUGUUUGGCAAGGAACUUCGUUGGUUCCCUUGAACAACAAUCUUUUAUGGUGAAUUUCAGUCAUGCAAUAAAUUUAGUAUUUUUGAAUACUCGAACCUUGCGAUGCUAAUCUUUUUCCACAGGAAAAAACUCCUCGCUUUUUCUAUGAGUCUACUUUUUUCCUCUUCAAAUAUUGUUUCUUGUUUUCUUCUAAAAACUGCUGGAGCAUUUGGGAAAGAAGUCUGUUCUUAUGAGACUUGUUUUGAUAGAAUAGAAAUCACUGUUAACCAGAUAGUGCAAAUCAUAAUCCUUCUUUACUUCAGUGCCUUAAGGCUGGCAUUCUAAUGAGAAUUGUAAUUUACCUAGUUAAAAGCUUAUCUGUGAAAUGAAGCUGUCCCUUGUGUUGGGGUGAAAACAGAACUGAGUGGAUGUACCUAGUGAGAGUGUAUAUCACAUACAUCUCCCAGGAAAGUGAGAUCUUGUAAGUUACCCUGAAGACCAGACCUGAGGCCUUGUAGCUGUAAGUUCUGGAACAAAUAAUGAGGAAACCAUCUCAGGUUUCAUACUUCACACUCAUGUUUAUCUUCUGAUACACCAGAGGAUUGUACUCCCAUCCAGUGAGAGCUGAACAAGCUGGAGAAGUUGACGGAAACCUUGUAAAAUUCAGCAGAAAGAAGUGCAGAGUCCUGCACCUGGGAAGGAACAAGCCCAUGCACCAGUAUAAACUGGGAGCUAAUCAACUGGAAAGCAGGUUUGCAGAAAGGGACCUCUGGAUCCUGGUGUAACCAAGUUGAACAUGAGCCAGCAGUGUGUUCUUGUGGCAAAGAAGAAUAUAAGUAUUCUUGUACUGUAAACUUACAUCUCAUUUAGCCCCAGAUGCCAUCCUUUCUGGUGUUCUCAGACUAAGAUCUAGUAUUAAAAAAUCUAGAAUCAUGUUUACCUGUCCUCCAUCUUCAAUCGCCAUUGGAAGAAGCAGGCGCAUUUCUUAUGUUUUAGUUUGUAUAUGGGAUGUUGCCAUCUAGAGUCAUCAGUCUGGACCAAUACUUUCAUAGACAAAAGCAAUCCAUAAUCUUGUUUAGUUGUUCAAUUCUUCAAGAGAUUUUUAUACAUCAUAAAUAACAAAACUGAAGCCUUGCCUCCUACAUAGGCAAACCAACACUUUUCAAUUUUUGUUGUUAAACUGUGUAUCUAAAUAAGCAAUGGGUUCUAAUCAAGCUUUUUCAUACCAUGAAUGUUCCAUAUCCAGAACUGGUGGCUCAGUCUUCUUUCUAUAUUGCAUGCACACCUGCUUCCUCAUCUAUAAGGGUUGUUUCUCAUUCACAAGUCUCACAGUUAUAUUCAUUCAGAGUUAAUGGCAGAUAAGGUCCAUUAAUUUCAAACUGUUAUUACGACCAUGCAGGCUACACAGUGCAUAUUUUAAAGUAGUUUGAGUAAAUGCUUAUACAAAGGAUGUGAAUGGUGAUUGCAGAUUUACACAUGCUGAAAGAACAGCAGCAGUACGCUGUGUUGUCUUUUAUACGGCUAACAAGCUUUAUAAAGGAAUAUUUCUAUCACAGUAUUAUGGUGAUAGCCAGCAGUAAAUCUGUGUGAAAGCCUUUUUAGCAAAACCAGUGCAACUCAAAGAACUGUCUGUUGGUUCUGGUGCCCUAAUGAACUCAGAACUGCUCAGAUCUUGUUUAAAUCUUGACAAAAAGAUGGAAGAUGACCUCCUACGGAAAAACAAAAAAAAUCCAAAAAAAUGGUGAGGGAGGGGAAACCAACCAACUAAACCCCACCUGCAUUGUCUGUCUAAGAAAAGAAGAGCGAUGGCAAAUUCUGUUCAACAUGAUCCUACAACCCAAAUCAAUUUGGAGCUCCUUACCUAUUCUCGCAUUAUGGGAGAGACCUAUUAAAAUCUAGGACUAUUUCAGGAACUCUUUAAUGAAUGGUGUCUACACCUUAGUGAACCUUCCAUUUUAUCAACCACUCUCUCAUGGCUGAGGGUCUGCAGCACAUCUUUGGCAGCUCUUUUAUAAAAUACUUCAAAAUCAAAACAAUUUAAAGUCAGAAACUGGGAGUGGAAGCUGAAAGUCCCUGCUGAUUUUCAUUCUGCAUCACUCUUAGGAAUUUGUUUUUUUUUUAAGAAUGGCUGGAAACUUCAAUUUUGAAACAUGCUAUUUAGUCAACCCAAAAUAUUUUGCUACAGUUCCCUCCACUGAAAAGCCUCCUUGACUUAACUCAAAAUGUCUGUGUUUAGCAUGUAAGUUUUUUUGUGGUUUCAUGCAUUUCCUUCUCUUCCUGAUACAGCAAAGGCAUCUCUGUGUCGAGCUGUCACAUCCAAAAGAGGCUGACAGCAUAUGAAGGCAGAGCAGUAUGCUUUGAUGAGAAAAUGCAAAUCCCAAACAAAACAUUUGCAGAACUACUAAUCACUAUAUCAGUAAAACUGAACAAUUAUAUUUUUUUUAUAGAAUGAGGUAAGGCUGACUCCUUAUAAGAAAUCCAACAAAUAACUUCAUAUACACACAUCCCAUUUAUUUCUGCACCAGAGGCUAAUUUUUACCUGAUUGAGAUUAAUGUCAAACUCCCCCUGUGUAUUGUGCAACCGAGGUUUGAUCUUUUUUGGUCUAAGCACUGCUUUAUUAGUAGUUCGAGAACUUGUAUGGCGUAGCAGGAAGCUACCAGAGGCAAAAUAUGCACUUAAUGUUAAGACAAAGAUCGAAAUCAGGUGAGGUUGACUUCUUUUUUUCUUACUUGGUUCUUUACAAAAUUAAUGCAUCAUUUUAUUCAAACUACUCUGGCAAAUACAGGCAAAAGGAGUUUCUAAAUCUGGAAGAGGGUUUGGCAUUCUGAAUCGGGUUUAGAAAUUUUGGGCAACACAAGCUGCCAUUAGUUUUCAUGGUAAUGAAUGCUGCACUUUGAAAUGAGAGGACUGGCUCUUCAUAGCCGGUGAUGCAAAAGCAAAAGUAGACAAACUCACAGACAAUUGGAAAAGUAUUGGGCUUAUUUUUAAUUUUAGUUCUUUGACUUUACUAUAAUUGUAGCUAAUUCAUUAAUUGCUGUUUGCAAUGCUAUUGUAUUAAGAAAAAUGUGUAUCUACCAGUCUGUUUGCAUGAUUUGUAUUUUGAUAUAUUUCCCUUAUUUAGUUCAACUUUUACCAUACCACCUACCGGGAAAAAUAAUUUAAUUUAGCAAAAGCUAUUUUCAUUCUGAGCAAACCUUGAUUUAAAGCUAUGGGGAUUGUAAUUACAUUUAAUUAUAAUGAGUUUGGGUUUUGAAAAAACCUCAAUAGUCUAGUUUGGGUUUUAAAUUCCCACAUCAGUUCAUGGUGGGCCUAAAGACUGGCAGUUCACUGCAUUAUGUUUCAUACUUUUUUCCACCAGUAGAGCUUGGCUAGGAAAUUGAACUUACUCCAAGGUUUAAAAUUUUCCAAUUUUCUAUGUUUAAUAGAAACUGGGACUUUGGGUUAAAUUUCUAAGUGCACGCUUGCAGGUAAGCAGUACCUGGACUUACAUGUUGGCAUAGACCUACCCAAGAACAUAGUUCACUGGAAAGAAACAUUACCUCCCUCUGGACUUUUUUCCCUUCUGACCAUCACUAGCCAAAGGGCAAACUUUCUCAAAGGCUUUGAAGCCAGUAAAAGCAAAAUGUGUUUAUUAGAGACUAAGCUCAAGAAAAGAACUACAUGGGGCAUGGAGCUGUCCUAAGUUCAAACAUUUCUGGUGAAGGAUGUUUAACCUGAGAAGCUUUGGUUGUAGUGUUAGAGUGUAGGAAGGGAAGUGACUUUGAAAGGGUGUUACUUUGGAUGAGAGGCAGAAGGGGUAUCCCCUAGUAGUCGCUUCUGGUAAAGAACUGUUCCUUCAAUUACCAUGCCAAUUAUAAGGAGCUCUUUAGGUAGGACAAGUGGCUCUGCAUUAUUAUCCCCAAAGUGGAUGUAUUUGAAAAUAAAGCCAAAUGCUAAGAAAAUUAACAAACUUAAGGAGUACACAUUUUAUAAGGAACAGAAAAAAGUUUGUAUGAGUCUCUCAAUAUACCAAAAGGAUUAUUCUGACUUGUAUCUUUGCAGUUUUCUGUUAUGCUGAUUCAUUCCUUUUGACUUUGAAUAAUCUUUUUACUUCUUACCUUGAAUUCUAGCCCAGUUUUUUUUUUAACAUAAAUCUGUUAUCUUACACUAUCUCAGAGAAAAUAAGCCAAAGUUGUCGUAUCUUUUUUCUAGCUUCUUCCUCUUCGUAACUUUAUUUUCAGAAUUUAACUCAAGAUUCCCUAAUAAUUGACUAUGAGUUUGAUUUCUGGAUCAAAAAACUUUUUAGGCACAUUCCGCAGUUUCCUAAGCUUAUUGUUGCCUUGACAAUAUAUUAUGUAAGGAAUUAAGCUGUUUCUUGAUAUCAUCAUUGAUAACUCCAUUGAGUUAGACCUACUAACCUCAGUGUGGCUAGUAUUUAUCUUUAAAAAGAGUUUUCCAUUCAUGACCAUUUAAACAGUCCCUGAAGCUAUGAAUGUUCUUUUAAUUUUAUUCCAGCAUUGCUAUUAAGUUACUGCAGCAUUUCUAGUGAGCUGCUCCUUCAGAAGAUCUUGCACAGUAGAUGGAUCUUUCUUCUUAGCUCUACUGUAAUCAAGCUAUUUCUUACAUUUCCUGUAGAUUUGUAUCAAAAACAUGUAGUUGGUUCCCCUUCUGGUUCUCCUCAAGUGUCUGUUGUCAUAUAUUGGUUGGACUUUAGUAACUUCUGAUGUAGAUAUGUUUGGUUUUGUGAUUUGUUUAUCAGAAAGCACUGCUUCUCUCUCUCUAAGAUUCUGCUGAAGCUCUGCAGAGUUCCCCAUCCACGCUUUGAUGUUAAGGUACUGCACAACAGGAACAGCUUGUUCUCCAGGCAUUUGGGGAUUUCUCUCUUUAACUCCCCAAGGUAUGGUUCUAAUAAUCUUAUUCUCCGAAUCCUUCCCAACGGGUGCUCUUCUGUGUUUCUUAUUGACUCCACAGCAUGGAUCCAUUUUGCUUUCCUGUCAAACAUUGAGCUGUUCCAGUAGUGCCUCAUUCAGUUCUCUGGUUCUUCCUAUUAAUCUUCUUUUUUUUUUUCAGUCUGCAGGUGGGGAAGAGGUAUUACAGUUAUUUAUACUGAUACUUAUAAAUCUUACUCCUCUCCUGUUUUAAUUUGGAGUCUAACUCAAGCAGGAAAAGCAUUUUGAACAGGGAUGAAAUUAAAAGGUUACUCAUAGUUUGAAGCUUUCUAAGAAGAACUAGAUUUUUUUAAAAUUCCUUCAGUGAUGGAAGUGUUCAUUUUAUGGUAAGUACUAAUAUACUUCAAAGGUAGAGGGAACAGGUGAAAGUCAAACCAGUGCUUCUGCUAAAAAUUGAAAGCCAGCCUAUCAAUGCUCUUUACUUUCAGAGUAAAACUGACAAGUUUCCUGAAAUAUCUAGUUCAAACGUGUUGUUUGCCAGCAGCUAACAGGCGUUUGUUUCCAAAGCUGGUGGAAGCAGUUUUCAUUCUUCCUGCCUCAGUGAUUGAUUUGUUUCUUUCUUUUUUUUUUUUUCCUUUCAGGGAACUUAAUUGCAUUAUGUUUUUUUCAUAAAUAAACACAUCAAAUGUCACGAUAUUAGCAUAAUCAUAAAAACGUCGAGUAUUCGCUGCAUUUGCAAUAUGUCACAGCUUACCAUAGAAUGUAUUUUUUCUUCCAAUUAACACAAGUCUCUGGAGCGUGACUCUGAAUGGGCAGCUCUUAAAAAGGUGGCAAUUGGUUCCAACAGUUUAUUCCCCUUAGGGAAAAGAAUCGUUUGUCCCUAAAGCAGGAUAAUGUUGGUCCUCAAAACCAGUAAAUCCUGAAGGAAUACACAAAUAUAUAUGGCCACUUAAGAAGGGGAAAUGUUACUGACCCUGUGGUUGCAUUCUGUGCAAGCUCAUGCUGUGUCUGGCUGACCCCACUGAUCUCCUUGCACAAGAACAUAGAUUACAAAUUUCUGUGCCUGUCAUAAUCCUCAUACUAUCAUUUGUGCCACGGGUAGUAUUAUUUAUUCUUUAAUACAGGUGGUUGACUGAUGCUAUAUAUUUAAGAUGACUAAAUAAGUUAAAAAGAAGCAUGUACAUAUUAAUACAUAUUUUUUUGUCAUGUAUCUAAACUUGUAUAGACUGUCGCACUGCCUGCACUAACUGCAAUAGCAUUGUUUUAGUCAGUAAUUUCCUGAAAGAAUUUGGGAGCGUGAAUUUCAAUGGCAAGGAUGUAAGUCUGUGAAAGUGGAAGUUUCACAUACAGUCAGAUUUUUUUGAUGGUUAAUUUAUGAUGUAAAGCAAAUAUUAUAAACUUAUGUCCAAAGUUUCUUCUUCUUUCUUGGCUGUUAUAGAGGGAAAUAGCCACAGAAUUCAAUCCACUUAUAUACUUUAAAAUUUGGAGAUGGGAAUCCAAUUUAUUAUCCAUGCAGUAAUUUGCUUCCCAGCUUUGUUUUUGAUCAUGCCCAGAGCUCUUCCACUUGAUUUGUGAUUGCUAUCUUCAUUAAGCUCAUGAAUGCAAAGGUAAGAGAGACUGCUGCCUUAAAAGGUUCCUUGGCACUGGUUUUUCCAUGCAUGGAAGGACAUCUGGUAUGACCAUUGGAGAGGAAAGCAAGUGUGCUGUGGGCUGGGUGGCCUCAUCCCUACUGCCUUUGAACUGCUUGCUACAGGUUUUGCUGGUGAGUACACUGCUGCAUGGCAGCACAGCUCUGUGUUUCUGUCCUUGUUUGGACGGGCAGGAAAUUCCCAUUUGCACUUGUGGGAAAUACAGUGGGCUACAAAUAAGGCACACAGCAAAAAGUGCCAAGAAACAGGUAACCUCCUCUCUCUGGAUAUAUUUAUGGAAGGUGAGAGCCCCUCCAUGUAUGCCGAGCAGUCAUUAUGGACAGCCUCUCCUUUUGGCCUUCCUAAUGUGUCUUAGUCCUCAUCCUUUAAGAGACAGAAAUCACAGCUCUCUUCUGGGUUCUCUGUUCUGUUUUAUGGGACAGGCAAAACAGUGCCAGCUGAUGGUGAUAUGCCACUGGUGGAUGCCCACUGGACAGGGGCUGCAUCAGAUGGCUUACUUGAUGUGGUGAUAAGUGCUGCUGAUAGUGCUGGUUAAGAGUUUAAAACAGCUGGAUCUGUGUCCUGUGACCACUCUUCUGACCCACUCUGUCCAUACAGAUUACUUUUGAGACGACUUUUCCUUAUUUUUGUACAACUCACUCCUUGAGCACGUCUAGUGUUCGCUGACAGAGACCACAUGCAGUUGCUCGUGCCUCCCCAUGAGCUGAAGGGAACUGAUGAUGACUUGGGGUCUGAGAGCUGAAGUGAAUGCAGGGAGAUGUGCACACACCCACUUAUUGCAGCGGGUGGGAAGGACAGAUCUGCUCAUUCAUCCUCCUUCACCUCUCUUUACAUUCUUCUCUGGCCUCUGAAAUUUGAUGACUUCUGUAAUUUUCAAACACCUCCACCUUUUUCCUUGUCUGCUAGGUAUCGCUUUGUAUUCCCUGAAGUGAUGAUGGGAUUAUGUCAGAGAUAUCAAAGGAGAUGGCUUUGGCAGCAGUCAGCAGUGAUCGUAAAAUAGUCGCAAGUCAGAUUUUGUAAUCCAUCUGCUGCACAUCCAGGCCCCAAGGAUGGAUUCAAAUAUACGUGUGAAUGUUUCAGAAAAUAUUCCACAUAACUUUGCCAUAGGAAUAACAUCUUUCAAAAUCCAAGCACCAAAGUGUUUGCAUUUGCCUAAUAUAUAUUUUUCUGAUUGUUAAAUUUGACUCUGUGCUCUGUUGUUUCAGCAAGUAGGAGCAGGUCCUGCCCUGAUCUCGAGGACGUGAGGAGCUAGAAGCAGGGCAGUGUGCCUCUAUGGAGCAGUGAGGCCAAUGGAAAUAAGCAGGAGUCAGGCAUACAGGAAGUGAAUCUGAUCAAUGAGGAAGGAACAAUUGUUUUUACGAGAUCACUUUCCUGAGCAUGACUGCAUACCAAUCCCUUUCCAAAGACUGAAUUCAUAUAUCCACUGCGGAAAAGAAAUGUUCGUAUUCAUGAGUAUGAGGAUUCAUACUUACCAUGCUGCAGUUUUGCCAGAGGACUGGUGAUUGUCAUACAGCAAGCAGUUCAAACCAGGAAUCCCCCUGGGCUGAUCAAACAUUCCCUAAAGUGUGGUAGAAGGCAGGAAGAAUGACACUUGCUAAUUUGAAUUUCAGAACACACCUAAACCGCAUUCUGAUCUCCAGUUCGUAGUCACUGGUCUCAAUGGUGACCAGAAGAUUGUGAGGUGGAAGCAGGUUAGAUUGAUGGAAAAGCUGAUACCUCUUGUGGAAUGGUCAGAAAUGAACAUGAAAAUGAUGAAUAGCUAUCUCCCUCAGAUGUCCUUCCUUCACUGAAGACAGAAAAUGGAGAUCCAGAUUUCCCCAGAGGAAUGGAGUUUUAAUCUGAAGUGUAUGGAGGUUUGGGCCUUGUUUGUAUCACCUGCCCCAAGGCAUAUGCCUAUGCCUUGGCAACUGAACUACCCUUGUGUCUUCGCUGUCUGCAUGGACUUGAGCUGAGAUUCAGACUCCAGGGACUGGCAUCUCAUGCCUAUGCUUGUCCCCAGCAGUUUACUUACUUGGAUGGACAGAACGCUCAUCAAAAUCAGCAAAAGUUAUUUCCAUUAUCUUCUCUGUAUCACUGGCCAAGAGAGUGACUGGCUUGUUUCAGGGGUGAAGAAGAUAUUGCAGGAAUGCUGUGUAACAACUGGGCCUGCGGCUUCUGGAAUAAUGAUUGACUCGGAGAGAAUUUUGCCUUUUUUUUUUUUUUUUUUUUGGUGAAACUGCUGUUGUCUCCCAGCACCUGUCUUCAGACACUGAGCUGUAAUGUCUAUGUCAGUGAAUAAAAAUGAUCCACAGUGAAGAGACAGGAGAAUAAACUUCAAUCUGAGGAAAUGCAACUGACUGUCAAAAAAAACCCACCACACUAAAUUUUGUAAUUUUUCAGAUAAAAUCAUUAGGAAAUUUUUUUUACUUCUGGAAAAAUAAAAGAUUCUCCUCCAGAUCCUCUCUUUCUAAGGCUUUGUGUGCAGGAACACAGGGUAUGCUAGAGGAGGUGGCCCAUUCUUUUGGACCACUUCAGAACAGUAAAUUCCAGUUGCCAAACCUGCUUGUGUGUGGAAACUCUAAGCACACAGAAAAGUGUUACAUGGUUCAUGGACCUGAGCUGUCUGCUGGAAGAACAGUGAGGAAUGAUAACAAUGAUAAUAAAUUUGCUUUUACUGCUAAUCUCUGUUGUAAUAAAUUUAUCCUGUAUACUUACACAAAAA
Molecule: long non-coding RNA, 11587 nt
Organism: Numida meleagris (helmeted guineafowl)
Lineage: Eukaryota; Metazoa; Chordata; Aves; Galliformes; Numididae
Exons: 7
Source: RefSeq, a predicted model, not a curated record